This 72-nucleotide transfer RNA is filed under the name Ictidomys tridecemlineatus (thirteen-lined ground squirrel). RNAcentral's name for it is "Spermophilus tridecemlineatus (thirteen-lined ground squirrel) tRNA". It matches the Rfam family "tRNA". From Rfam's summary of the family: Transfer RNA (tRNA) molecules are approximately 80 nucleotides in length. Their secondary structure includes four short double-helical elements and three loops (D, anti-codon, and T loops). The record is from Rfam by way of RNAcentral. Lineage: Eukaryota; Metazoa; Chordata; Mammalia; Rodentia; Sciuridae.
GGGGUUGUGGCUCAGUGGUAGGGUGCUUGCCUAGCAUGCACGAGGCACUGGGUUUGAUUCUCAGCAACACAU